Molecule: small nucleolar RNA, 77 nt
Filed under: Xenopus laevis (African clawed frog)
Lineage: Eukaryota; Metazoa; Chordata; Amphibia; Anura; Pipidae
Also listed under: 1 other name
Description: Small nucleolar RNA snR60/Z15/Z230/Z193/J17
Rfam family: Small nucleolar RNA snR60/Z15/Z230/Z193/J17
About the family: The members of this family belong to the C/D class of snoRNAs which contain the C (UGAUGA) and D (CUGA) box motifs. Most of the members of the box C/D family function in directing site-specific 2'-O-methylation of substrate RNAs. The family includes the yeast snoRNA snR60 (also known as Z15) and the corresponding human guide snoRNA U80 (SNORD80).
Source: Rfam by way of RNAcentral
AAGAUGCAUUUGAUGAAAACAUAGUUCAGCUGACCUUCUGUGAAGAAGAAGUCUUUCGCUCCUAUCUGAUGCAUCUU